This 460-nucleotide ribosomal RNA is filed under the name uncultured bacterium. Its description in RNAcentral is "partial 16S ribosomal RNA". It matches the Rfam family "Bacterial small subunit ribosomal RNA", at positions 338 to 795 of the family's 1533-position model. The record is from RNAcentral.
CCUACGGGUGGCAGCAGUGAGGAAUAUUGGUCAAUGGACGAGAGUCUGAACCAGCCAAGUAGCGUGAAGGAUGACUGCCCUAUGGGUUGUAAACUUCUUUUAUAUGGGAAUAAAAUGUUCCACGUGUGGGAUUUUGUAUGUACCAUAUGAAUAAGGAUCGGCUAACUCCGUGCCAGCAGCCGCGGUAAUACGGAGGAUCCGAGCGUUAUCCGGAUUUAUUGGGUGUAAAGGGAGCGUAGGUGGAUUGUUAAGUCAGUUGUGAAAGUUUGCGGCUCAACCGUAAAAUUGCAGUUGAAACUGGCAGUCUUGAGUACAGUAGAGGUGAGCGGAAUUCGUGGUGUAGCGGUGAAAUGCUUAGAUAUCACGAAGAACUCCGAUUGCGAAGGCAGUUCACUGGACUGCAACUGACACUGAGGCUCGAAAGUGUGGGUAUCAAACAGGAUUAGAUACCCUGGUAGUC